AAUCUGGAAUCUGAAAUCGUCCU
RNAcentral lists this small nuclear RNA (23 nucleotides) under Arabidopsis thaliana (thale cress). RNAcentral describes it as "snRNA_07689". Lineage: Eukaryota; Viridiplantae; Streptophyta; Magnoliopsida; Brassicales; Brassicaceae. The record is from RNAcentral.